GAUGAACGCUGGCGGCGUGCCUAACACAUGCAAGUCGAACGGAGUCCAGCCUUUAAGACCUUCGGGUCAAAGAGGGGAAGACUGAGUGGCGGACGGGUGAGUAACACGUGGGCAACCUGGCUCAUAGAGGGGGAUAACAGAGAGAAAUUUCUGCUAAUACCGCAUAAGCACACACUGCAGCAUGGCAGAGGGUGAAAAGAGAAUCGCUAUGAGAUGGACCCGCGUCUGAUUAGCCAGUUGGCAGGGUAAGAGCCUACCAAAGCGACGAUCAGUAGCCGAUCUUAGAGGAUGAACGACCACAUAGGGACUGAGACACGUCCCAAACACCUACGGGAGGCAGCAGUGGGGGAUAUUGCACAAUGGGGGGAACCCUGAUGCAGCGACGCCGCGUGAGUGAAGAAGUAUUUCAGUAUGUAAAGCUCUAUCAGCAGGGAAGAUAAUGACAGUACCUUAAAAAGAAGCCCCGGCUAACUACGUG
This 478-nucleotide ribosomal RNA is filed under the name uncultured bacterium. Its description in RNAcentral is "partial 16S ribosomal RNA". It matches the Rfam family "Bacterial small subunit ribosomal RNA", at positions 28 to 507 of the family's 1533-position model. The record is from RNAcentral.